UACGAGAGUUUGGAAUGGCUUGUGUCGUUUAUCACAGCAUUUGUAGACGAUGUAGUAGUUUUGGAACCAUUAACUAUUGUAAUUUUUGCCGUGAUAAUUACUUUUAUACUGAAGCGACCAGUCAAGAUUGGGGAUGCACCACCACAGAUUGUGCAAGGAAAUGAAGACUCGUUAGACGAUCAGUACGUGUCAAAAAGAACACAGAAACAGAAUAGCAUACCCGAUCACGUUCCUAAAAAGUAUCUUAAGCAAAGGAAACAGGAAAGUGAGUUGACAGCGAGACUGCAAACAAAAACUCAGGACAUCAUUCUAUUUUUGAUAUUCAUUACUGUUAUGUUAUUGGUUGUCCACAAUCAUCGUCCUGUUGAACAAUGUUUUCAGCAGUCACAAACUGUCAACAAUAUGUUCAUCAAGAAGAAAUUUGACUUUGUAAAAACGCGCACUGACAUGUGGAAUUUUAUCAAUGAAAGUGUAGUCACGCCAUUAAACAGAACUUUACCAUUUGACAAGUCAAAGAAAAAUCCAGAAAAUGAUUUCUUACUUUUAGGAACAUUGCGUCUACGCCAGAUAAGAGUUG
Molecule: long non-coding RNA, 577 nt
Organism: Mytilus californianus (California mussel)
Lineage: Eukaryota; Metazoa; Mollusca; Bivalvia; Mytilida; Mytilidae
Exons: 3
Source: RefSeq, a predicted model, not a curated record